GACGAACGCUGGCGGCGUGCUUAACACAUGCAAGUCGAACGGUAAGGCCCUUCGGGGUACACGAGUGGCGAACGGGUGAGUAACACGUGGGUGAUCUGCCCUGCACUUCGGGAUAAGCCUGGGAAACUGGGUCUAAUACCGGAUAGGACCACUGCCUGCAUGGGUGGUGGUGGAAAGCUUUUGCGGUGUGGGAUGGGCCCGCGGCCUAUCAGCUUGUUGGUGGGGUGAUGGCCUACCAAGGCGACGACGGGUAGCCGGCCUGAGAGGGUGACCGGCCACACUGGGACUGAGAUGCGGCCCAGACUCCUACGGGAGGCAGCAGUGGGGAAUAUUGCACAAUGGGCGCAAGCCUGAUGCAGCGACGCCGCGUGAGGGAUGACGGCCUUCGGGUUGUAAACCUCCUUCAGCACCGACGAAGCGCAGGUGACGGUAGGUGCAGAAGAAGGACCGGCCAACUACGUGCCAGCCGCCGCUGUAA
This 478-nucleotide ribosomal RNA is filed under the name uncultured bacterium. Its description in RNAcentral is "partial 16S ribosomal RNA". It matches the Rfam family "Bacterial small subunit ribosomal RNA", at positions 28 to 523 of the family's 1533-position model. The record is from RNAcentral.